This 453-nucleotide long non-coding RNA is filed under the name Chrysolophus pictus (golden pheasant). RNAcentral's name for it is "lncRNA (ENSCPIG00010014558.1)". Lineage: Eukaryota; Metazoa; Chordata; Aves; Galliformes; Phasianidae. The record is from RNAcentral.
UUGUGGGGCUGGAGGACUCAGUUAAGGUGCUGGAGGACCUUGGGUGUGGGGCUGGGGGAUUCAUGGUGAUGGUGAACUUGGAUGUGGGGCCAGAGGAUUCACUUAUGGGGCUGGAGGACUUGGAUGUACGUCUGGAGGAUUGGGAAGUGGGGCUGGAGGUCCGGGGUGUGGGGCUGGAGGAUUCAGGGGACUGGGGAACUGGGAUGUGGGGCUGGAGCACUGGGAUGUGGGGCUGGAGCACUGGGAUGUCGGGCUGGAGGACCUCGGUGUGGAGCUGGAGGACUCACUUAUGGGGCUGGAGGACUGGGAUGUAGGGCUGGGGGACUCAAUUAUGGGGCUGGAGGACUUGGGGGUGGCCCUGGAGGACUGGGAUGUGGGGCUGGAGGACUGGGAUGUGGGGCUGGAGGACUGGGAUGUGGGGCUGGAGGACUGGGAUGUGGGGCUGGAGGACUG